Molecule: small RNA, 212 nt
Filed under: Pseudomonas siliginis
Lineage: Bacteria; Pseudomonadati; Pseudomonadota; Gammaproteobacteria; Pseudomonadales; Pseudomonadaceae
Description: PhrS
Rfam family: PhrS
Source: RNAcentral
AGCAAAGCAAAGCAAAGCAGGGCCGGGAGGUCAGUCAUGUUUUUCGAUAACGUGGUGUUUGCCGGGGUUCUCACGGUGGGGCUCAUGGUGCUGUUUUUUGCAGGGUUUGGAUUUUUUAUCUGGAAGGAUGCGCAUAAGCGGCGCAAGUGAGUUCUUCUGGAUUGAUGGGCACGCAAGGCAUUUUGGGGCGACUUCGGUUGCCCUUUUUUUUU